Molecule: long non-coding RNA, 1047 nt
Filed under: Oreochromis niloticus (Nile tilapia)
Lineage: Eukaryota; Metazoa; Chordata; Actinopteri; Cichliformes; Cichlidae
Description: lncRNA (ENSONIG00000027253.1)
Source: RNAcentral
AUGUCUCCCAAGCACAAAACCUUUGCACACAAAAUGCCUCAGGUAACUCCCUGUUCAGGUGUGUUAAAUGUUCAGGUGACCACAUCGAGUGUUCCCGCUGUUUUUCAUUGUUGUGCCCCAGAAAAGGUGCCUCCAACAAAAUGUAUGAAUGUACAUGUUUCCAUGUUACAAUCGAUAAAGAGUGUUGUUUAUUCUCAAACAGUCACAAAUGCUCAACCUGCAGGCAGAAUGAGCCAGGUCAGGCAGGUGAUGCAGUCCCCUGCAGACACACUGGGGGGAGACAACGCCCCGCCAACGGUGCUGCAGGUCAGCCGGCUGGCUGCUCACUUCCCUCAGUGGCGCGCUUGCGCCCCCUCCCUGUGGGUGCUGCGAACCAUUGCCAUGGGUUACCGGUUGAAGUUCCAGGUCAAGCCGCCUCGUUUCCAAAGAGUUGUAAACACGACUGUCAACACCGAGGCGGCCAUGAUACUCAGAGAGGAAAUAAAGGCGCUAUUGCAGAAAAGAGCAAUACGAGUGGUCCCCGCUUCGGAGACAGACAAAGGUUGGUACAGCCGUUAUUUUGUUGUUCCGAAAAAAGGGGGAGGGCUUCGUCCCAUCCUUGACCUGCGAGUCUUGAACACGUCUCUACGAAUGUACAGGUUCAUGAUGCUAACACUCAGACAGCUCUUGAAUGCGGUCAGCCCGGGAGAUUGGUUUUCAACAAUCGAUCUUGCAGAUGCUUAUUUUCAUGUGGCUAUACACCCGAAACACAGGCAGUUUCUGAGGUUUGCAUUUGAGGGCGUAGCCUACGAAUACCUAGUGCUGCCCUUCUGGCUGUCGCUUGCUCCUUACCUUUACGAAAUGUGCCGAGGCAGCGUUAGCGCCCCUCAGAGAGAGAGGCAUCCGCAUCUUAGCCUACCUAGACGACUGGGCUCUCGUAGCUUGCUCCAGAGAGCAGGUGGAGACACAGCUGUCACUGGUUCUGUCACACAUUCAGACACUGGGGUUCAGUGCGCAUGCGCUAACCAGCGUGCAGCCUGUUACAGUUGCUCCUGCUUUUUCUCUUAG